AUGCGGAAGAGAUUUCUUCUGUGGCCGCUGCUGCUCGCUGUCUCCGCAUCGUCAGCUCUUCUUGGUGUUCUCGCGGCCGACCUUAGCAAAGAACCUUUUACCAUCCGUAUAAGCUGUGGGAGUUUCGACGAUGUCCACACGGCACCUACCAACACGUUGUGGUACCGAGAUUUUGGUUAUACUGGUGGCAGGUUUGCAAAUGCCACUCGCCCGAGCUUUAUUGUACCCCCACUGAAAACUCUUCGAUAUUUCCCUCUGUCUGAUGGCCCUGAAAACUGUUACUACAUCAACAAUGUUCCCAAUGGGCACUACCAAGUCAGGCUUUUCUUUGCCCUUGUGGCUGAUCCUAAUCUUGAUAGUGAGCCAAUAUUUGAUGUUUCUGUUGAGGGCACUCUAUUCAGUUCUUUGCUUUCGGGCUGGAGUAGUGAUGAUGAGAAGACAUUUGCGGAAGCCCUGGUUUUUGUUCAACACUCUAGCUUAUCAAUUUGUUUCCACAGCACCGGUCAUGGCGAUCCAUCGAUCCUUUCUAUCGAAGUUCUCCAAAUAGAUGAUAAUGCCUAUAAGUUUGGUUCCCUUUGGGGAAAGGGAACAGUGCUUAGAACUACCAAAAGAUUGACAUGUGGUUCUGGAAAGCCAGCUUUUGACGAAGACCUAAACGGUAUCCACUGGGGUGGUGACAGAUUCUGGUUAGGUUUGAAAACUUUAUCAUCUAGUUCUGAUGAUCAACCUAUAUCAACUGAAAAUGUUAUAGCAGAGACAUUGCUUGCACCAAAUUUUUAUCCUCAAAGUAUGUACCAAUCAGCUAUUGUGGGCACUGAUAGGCAGCCGACGUUAUCCUUUGAAAUGGAUGUUACUCCAAACAAGAACUAUUCUGUAUGGCUUCAUUUUGCAGAGAUUGAUAAUGGAAUAACUGCAGAAGAGCAAAGGGUAUUUGAUGUACUUAUCAAUGGUGACACUGCUUUCAAAGAUAUUGAUAUAAUCCGCAUGACAGGAGAGCGUUUUACUGCGCUUGUUCUGAAUAAAACUGUUGCUGUCAGUGGGACAACGCUAAAAAUCACCUUGCAGCCUGUUGAAGGGACACAUGCCAUUGUUAGUGCGAUUGAGGUUUUUGAUAUCAUUCCAGCUGAAAUGAAGACCUUAACUCAAGAAGUGACUGCUCUGCGGACUUUGAAGGGUUCACUUGGUCUUCCUCUUCGAUUUGGCUGGAAUGGUGACCCCUGCAUUCCUCAGCAGCAUCCGUGGAGCGGAGUUGAUUGCCAGUUUGACAAUACCAAAAGGCAGUGGGUCAUUGAUGGACUAGGUCUUGACAACCAAGGCUUGAGAGGAGUUAUACCUAGUGAUGUAUCUAAGCUACAACACCUGCAAAGCAUAAACUUCAGCGGUAAUAGUAUAAAGGGCAAUAUUCCAUUGUCUUUGGGUACCAUCCCAGGGCUACGAGUACUAGAUCUGUCAUUCAAUGAACUCAAUGGUUCUAUUCCGGAGAGCCUUGGCCAACUGACGUCUUUACAGACACUGAACCUAAAUGGCAAUGAUCUUUCAGGAAGGGUUCCAGCCAGCCUGGGAGGAAGACCUCUACACCGAGUUAGAUUCAACUUUACGGACAAUGCUGGGCUGUGUGGAAUUCCUGGUUUACGUGAGUGUGGCCCUCAUUUAUCAGUCGCUGCAAAGAUCGGCAUGGCUUUCGGGGUACUUGUAGCUUUUCUGUUUCUAGUUGUAUUUGCGGCAUGCUGGUGGAAAAGGAGGCAAAACAUUAUCCGUGGUCAGAAAUUAGCUGCAGCAAGGGAAGCUCCCUAUGCUAAAUCAAGGACCCAGUUUACACGGGAUGUGCAAAUGGGCAAGCACCACCGCCCGCAUGAGACGAGCCCACGGGGUGGCAACAAUGAAAGCUCGCCACAUUUGCUUUCCUAG
This 1908-nucleotide ribosomal RNA is filed under the name Triticum aestivum (bread wheat). RNAcentral describes it as "partial small subunit ribosomal RNA". The record is from RNAcentral. Lineage: Eukaryota; Viridiplantae; Streptophyta; Magnoliopsida; Poales; Poaceae.